AGCAUGUGGUUAAUUCGAAGCAACGCGAAGAACCUUACCAGGUCUUGACAUCCCGAUGCUAUUUCUAGAGAUAGAAAGUUACUUCGGUACAUCGGUGACAGGUGGUGCAUGGUUGUCGUCAGCUCGUGUCGUGAGAUGUUGGGUUAAGUCCCGCAACGAGCGCAACCCCUAUUGUUAGUUGCCAUCAUUCAGUUGGGCACUCUAGCGAGACUGCCGGUAAUAAACCGGAGGAAGGUGGGGAUGACGUCAAAUCAUCAUGCCCCUUAUGACCUGGGCUACACACGUGCUACAAUGGUUGGUACAACGAGUUGCGAGUCGGUGACGGCGAGCUAAUCUCUUAAAGCCAAUCUCAGUUCGGAUUGUAGGCUGCAACUCGCCUACAUGAAGUCGGAAUCGCUAGUAAUCGCGGAUCAGCACGCCGCGGUCGAAUACGUUCCCGGGCCUU
Molecule: ribosomal RNA, 445 nt
Filed under: uncultured Streptococcus sp.
Lineage: Bacteria; Bacillati; Bacillota; Bacilli; Lactobacillales; Streptococcaceae
Description: bacterial SSU rRNA
Rfam family: Bacterial small subunit ribosomal RNA
Source: RNAcentral